AUGUAUCUUUUCUUUCUAUAACAGUUUUUUCCCCUUAAAAACAUAACAAUAAUUUGAUAUGUCAAUAAAUACUCACCAACUCUAAUAAACUCUCCUAGGUGUCAUUCUUAUGGCCUACGGCUCCUGCUGGAAAGAGCAUCGUCGCUUCGCCCUGAUGACCCUGAGAAACAUUGGACUGGGAAAGCAGUCCAUGGAGGAGAGGAUUCUUGGGGAGAUAUCACACAUCAUUGCACCCUUGGAGAAAAGCAUUGAGAGGAGAUGAUGGAUCUUUUUCAGAGGCCCAACUCAUCUUUUACCUCCUGAACUUUCACUUUGCUGGAACAGACACCACCUCCAAGACACUGCUCACUGCAUUCCUCUACCUCAUGACCCAUCCAGAGAUUCAGGGUCUGUUUGCUUUCUUUUCUAAUGUUUACAUUCAAAUUGUGUUUUUCUACUUCUACAGUUGUUGUAGAUUAUUUUUGCAAGAACAAUGGUGUCAGGCAAUGUUGAUAAUCCCUUUUGACUUUAGCCCUUUUUGUGUUGUUGCCAACAUCAAUCAAAUUUAUUUAUAGAGCCCUUCUUACAUCAGCUGAUGUCACAAAGUGCUGUACAGAAACCCAGCCUAAAACCCCAAAC
This 618-nucleotide long non-coding RNA is filed under the name Salmo trutta (river trout). Its description in RNAcentral is "lncRNA (ENSSTUG00000011284.1)". Lineage: Eukaryota; Metazoa; Chordata; Actinopteri; Salmoniformes; Salmonidae. The record is from RNAcentral.